GACGAACGCUGGCGGCGUGCUUAACACAUGCAAGUCGAACGGAAAGGCCCUGCUUUUGUGGGGUGCUCGAGUGGCGAACGGGUGAGUAACACGUGAGUAUCCUGCCCUUUACUUUGGGAUAACUUCAGGAAACUGGGGCUAAUACCUGAUAGGAGCUCCUGCUGCAUGGUGGGGGUUGGAAAGUUUCGGCGGUUGGGGAUGGACUCGCGGCUUAUCAGCUUGUUGGUGGGGUAGUGGCUUACCAAGGCUUUGAAGGGUAGCCGGCCUGAGAGGGUGACCGGGCACAUUAGGACUGAGAGACGGCGCAGACUCCUAUGGGAGGCAGCAGUGGGGAAUAUUGCACAAUGGGCGGAAGCCUGAUGCAGAAACGCCGCGUGCGGGAAGACGGCCUUCGGGUUGGAAACCGCUUUCGCCUGUGACGAAGCGUGAGUGACGGUAAUGGGUAAAGAAGCACCGGCUAACUACGUG
Molecule: ribosomal RNA, 468 nt
Filed under: uncultured bacterium
Lineage: Bacteria
Description: partial 16S ribosomal RNA
Rfam family: Bacterial small subunit ribosomal RNA
Source: RNAcentral